This 253-nucleotide ribosomal RNA is filed under the name uncultured bacterium. Its description in RNAcentral is "partial 16S ribosomal RNA". It matches the Rfam family "Bacterial small subunit ribosomal RNA", at positions 524 to 776 of the family's 1533-position model. The record is from RNAcentral.
UACGUAGGGGGCUAGCGUUGUCCGGAAUCAUUGGGCGUAAAGCGCGUGUAGGCGGCCCGGUAAGUCCGCUGUGAAAGUUGGGGGCUCAACCCUCGAAAGCCGGUGGAUACUGUCGGGCUCGAGUACGGAAGAGGCGAGUGGAAUUCCUGGUGUAGCGGUGAAAUGCGCAGAUAUCAGGAGGAACACCAAUUGCGAAGGCAGCUCGCUGGGACGUUACUGACGCUGAGACGCGAAAGCGUGGGGAGCAAACAGG